Molecule: ribosomal RNA, 445 nt
Filed under: uncultured bacterium
Lineage: Bacteria
Description: bacterial SSU rRNA
Rfam family: Bacterial small subunit ribosomal RNA
Source: RNAcentral
GUAAGGAAUAUUGGGCAAUGGACGCAAGUCUGACCCAGCCAUGCCGCGUGAAGGAUGACGGCCCUAUGGGUUGUAAACUUCUUUUGUACGGGAAAAAACCUUCGAACGUGUUCGAAGCUGAUUGUACCGUAAGAAUAAGCAUCGGCUAACUCCGUGCCAGCAGCCGCGGUAAUACGGAGGAUGCAAGCGUUAUCCGGAUUCAUUGGGUUUAAAGGGUGCGUAGGCGGAUUAAUAAGUCAGUGGUGAAAUCCUACAGCUUAACUGUAGAACUGCCAUUGAUACUGUUAGUCUUGAGUACAUUUGAAGUGGGCGGAAUGUGUCAUGUAGCGGUGAAAUGCUUAGAUAUGACACAGAACUCCGAUAGCGAAGGCAGCUCACUAAACUGUAACUGACGCUGAGGCACGAAAGCGUGGGGAUCAAACAGGAUUAGAAACCCGAGUAGUCC